AUUAUAAACUUGAAUCAAUUCCUGCUGUCCUUGUCAUUGAUCCCAUCACAGGGCAAAAAAUGCACUCUUGGUUUGGAAUGGUUCAACCUGAACGGUUACUUGAGGAUCUAUUGCCCUUCAUGGAUGGAGGUCCGAAGGAUCAUCAUGUGACCUUAUCUCAUAAACGUCCAAGAGAGAGUUCCUUGACUCCACCAAAAGUUAGAGAAGAGGAUUACG
Molecule: unclassified non-coding RNA, 216 nt
Filed under: Hevea brasiliensis (rubber tree)
Lineage: Eukaryota; Viridiplantae; Streptophyta; Magnoliopsida; Malpighiales; Euphorbiaceae
Source: RNAcentral